AUAAUUCCUUAUAUAUCAUCGCUACAUCGUGUAGAAACAGUAAAUAAAACAGAUACCUCUUGUCAAAGACGUGGUGAGUUGGGAAGGGGGAGCACGAUGUCCUAGGUGCCACCUUCAGCCUAUAUUUCUAUGUUAAAAUGUUCAUGGAAAAUGUAGGAAAGGGGGGGGGGGCGCCAAUAAAGUACCUUGCCCCUGGCGCACGUUGUGCUCACCACACCUCUGCCCUGCGACUCUUGUAGAUCUAGACAUAAUACAUCAUCAUUGUAAACACUAAACACUGAUUUAGUCUAUACAAAACCAAACCCAUACAUUUUUGUUUAGUUUUAGCGAUACUUGGUUGGGGGGGGGGGGGGGGGGGGGGGAAGCCGCUUUUAGUAUCUGUGUGUGUUUUUCCCGUUUAGAUCGCUAAAACUAGACAAUAAGCACUAAUUUAAAAAAAAAUUGAAAACAUCAUCUCUUGUGGCUUGUACCAUGGUAGAUUACUCGACUUCAGGCAACGGUUUCCUCAACUGGCUUUCUGAAAACUAGGUUACCCCCUCCUUUUUAAAUUUUAAUGAAAUAUCGAUACUUUUUUUUAAAGAGAUCUAUGCAUACAGCGUGUUAAUAAAUUAUAUUUUUGUCUUCAAAGUUGUGAAAAAAAAACUAAUACACAAAUGACCUAAUAGGUCCAUAGAGUAGGAGAUUAGUGUUUUAGUUUAAUGGAGUCUACGUAGGCUGCUUCUGAAUAGCGGCGGAUAAGGUUUGGACUGAUUUGACUAUACUAUACCGCUAUCGUGGGUGCAGACCAUGCAAUUUGUUGUCCAAAAUUGAUGGCAAUUUUAAAAAAUGAAACUGUCCCUAUCUUAUAUAUGCACAAUU
Non-coding RNA from Biomphalaria pfeifferi, 858 nucleotides. The record is from the annotation of a GenBank genome assembly. Lineage: Eukaryota; Metazoa; Mollusca; Gastropoda; Planorbidae.